AUGGAUUUGUUUCUGCCACUCGUCUCAUUGAUUUUGAUUGCCGGAGGACAAUGUAGCCAGCAUGCUUGUUUUGCCGAUGCGGCCAAGAUGCCCCUGACAAACAUGCAGACACUCACGGCGUAUUGGGAGGCCGCGCUUCCAGGAAUUCCCAUUCCCCCGGCUAUCAGUGACCUGUUAGCCCAACAAAAAGGGCAGCAAAAAAUUGGACCGAACUAUGAAAUAGUCAACUCAGAGGGUGGUCACGGGGACAACCAUGUUCAUAUCAUAUCACAGGUUAAAGAUGAUUUAAAAGAGGCAUAUGGGUCUCAUGGUGAAGAAAGUAGAAAGAAUGUCAUGAUGGCACUUGAACCAAAAAUUGGUAAGGAUCUGAAGGGACAACCAUUGUCACAUGGGUUACAAGCUAAAAAUUAUGUAGAAGAAAAAAUUGCUGCGUGUAGAACAAAAAUCGAAGAAAAUCUAAAGGAAAUAUCAGUGCCAUAUGGGUCAGAAAUUGACAACAAUAUUAAGAAAGUUUCAUUAAAUUUGAAGAAGAUCCUUGCAGCGUAUACACCAUUCAAAGAUGAAAACCUUAAGGAAAUAUCAGUGUCAUAUGGAUCAAAAGUUGGUGAAGCCCACGAAGAAGUUUCAGGGUCAUAUGGGUUAGAAAGUGAAAAUAAUUUAAAAGAAAUAUCUCUUUCUUAUGGUAUAAAUAGCGAUGAUACUCCACUGGAAGAAUCAGCACAUGAAGAAAAUGUAAAGGAAAUCUCAGUGUCAUAUGGGUUAGAAGGUCCAAAUAGUUUAAAGAAAGUUCCACUAAAUUUGAAGAAGAUCCUUGCAGCCUACACACCUUGGAAAUUUGGAAAUCUAAAGGAAAUAUCUGUAUCAUAUGGAUAUGGAUCAAAAGGCCAAGAGAUUUCAAAGGAAGCAUCAGGAAUAUCUGGGUUAAAAGGUGAAAAAGAUUUAAAAGAAAUCUCAGUUUCUUAUGGUGUUGAUGACCGUGAAAAACUGAAGGAAAUAUCUGUGGCAUACGGAUCGAAAGAUCAAGAAACUCUGAAGGAACCCUCAGGAACAUAUGAGUUAGAAGGUAAAAAGGAGUUAACAGAAAUCUCAGUGUCUUAUGGUGCAGACGGCCGUGAAAAUCUAAAGGAAAUAUCCGCAACAUAUGGAUCAAAGGACCAAGAAAUUCGCAAAGAAGCAUCAGGAUCCUAUGGGUUAAAAGGUGAAAGGGGUUUAAAAGAAAUCUCAGUGUCUUAUGGUGUAGACGGCCAGGAGAUUCUAAGGGAAGGCUCCACAUCACACGAAGAAAAUUCAAAGGAAGUCACUAUGUCAUAUGGGUCAGUCGAAGAGAAAGAUGAACAACCCCACAUUUUGAACCAAGUAAAAGGAGAGGGGAGCCACCAUGUUCACGCUCACAGCUACAGGAAGAAGAAAGAGGCAGAUGUCUUUCUUCCACGACAUGUUGAGGCCAGGGUCCUUGAUCACUCCGACCAUCCCGCCGACCACCUCCAUGCCGGCGCUUCUCUCCGGCAAUGUCGCCGACUCCAUCCCAUUCACCACCGAGCACCUCUCCGACAUCAUCACGAUGUUCGCACCGGCGUCCCUCACGAUGACCCGAGAGAUACGGUGGACGCUGGACACCUGCGAGCACCCACGGACGCUCCCCGGCCAGAAAGCAGGCUGCGCCACCUCCCUCGAGUCCCUCGCCGAGAUGCCGGCGUCCCUCCUUGGCCGGCGCAACGUCCACGCGUUCUCCGCCGUGGAUCUGCCCAUGGAUGCCCCGGGGACACCUGCGCUUAG
Molecule: ribosomal RNA, 1776 nt
Filed under: Triticum aestivum (bread wheat)
Lineage: Eukaryota; Viridiplantae; Streptophyta; Magnoliopsida; Poales; Poaceae
Description: partial small subunit ribosomal RNA
Source: RNAcentral